UACGAAGGUGUCUAGCGUUGUUCGGAAUCACUGGGCGUAAAGCGCGCGCAGGCGGACUAUCAAGUCUGAGGUGAAAGCCCGAAGCUCAACUUCGGAAUUGCCUUGGAAACUGAUAGUCUGGAGUGUGAUAGGGGGUAGCGGAAUUCCAAAUGUAGAGGUGAAAUUCGUAGAUAUUUGGAGGAACACCGGUGGCGAAGGCGGCUACCUGGAUCACAACUGACGCUGAGGCGCGAAAGCGUGGGGAUCAAACAGG
This 253-nucleotide ribosomal RNA is filed under the name uncultured bacterium. RNAcentral describes it as "partial 16S ribosomal RNA". It matches the Rfam family "Bacterial small subunit ribosomal RNA", at positions 524 to 776 of the family's 1533-position model. The record is from RNAcentral. RNAcentral also lists the same sequence under 1 other name.